GCGUAAGCGCACGCAGGCGGUCUGUUAAGUCAGAUGUGAAAUCCCCGGGCUUAACCUGGGAACUGCAUUUGAAACUGGCAGGCUUGAGUCUCGUAGAGGGGGGUAGAAUUCCAGGUGUAGCGGUGAAAUGCGUAGAGAUCUGGAGGAAUACCGGUGGCGAAGGCGGCCCCCUGGACGAAGACUGACGCUCAGGUGCGAAAGCGUGGGGAGCAAACAGGAUUAGAUACCCUGGUAGUCCACGCCGUAAACGAUGUCUACUUGGAGGUUGUGCCCUUGAGGCGUGGCUUCCGGAGCUAACGCGUUAAGUCCACCGCCUGGGGAGUACGGCCGCAAGGUUAAAACUCAAAUGAAUUGACGGGGGCCCGCACAAGCGGUGGAGCAUGUGGUUUAAUUCGAUGCAACGCGAAGAACCUUACCUGGCCUUGACAUCCAGAGAACUUAUCAGAGAUGCUUUGGUGCCUUCGGGAACUCUGAGACAGGUGCUGCAUGGCUGUCGUCAGCUCGUGUUGUGAAAUGUUGGGUUAAGUCCCGCAACGAGCGCAACCCUUAUCCUUUGUUGCCAGCGGCUCGGCCGGGAACUCACAGGAGACUGCCGGUGAUAAACCGGAGGAAGGUGGGGAUGACGUCUAGUC
RNAcentral lists this ribosomal RNA (632 nucleotides) under Pantoea dispersa. Its description in RNAcentral is "bacterial SSU rRNA". It matches the Rfam family "Bacterial small subunit ribosomal RNA", at positions 558 to 1191 of the family's 1533-position model. Lineage: Bacteria; Pseudomonadati; Pseudomonadota; Gammaproteobacteria; Enterobacterales; Erwiniaceae. The record is from RNAcentral.